GCCUUUCUUUCUUCGUUUCUGUUUCUGCCCUAUUAGUUCUUUCUGUUUACAGAUGGGCCUUUCAGUCCCAAGAUGAUACAUUCAUGAAGAGUAUUACUAUCAAGGGAGACAAGAGGUUGUUUUUUUUUUUUUAAAUCGAAAUUUUAUUCAUCCCGAUAACUGGGGAUUCAGUUCGAACAAAAUUUCCCAAUUCUAAGUAUUACAACCUAGCUUCGCCCACCCACUAAACCCGACACAUUCCGCUAGAUCGUUUUUAUUAUCCUUAGGAAUCGGUCGCCCUUCUCAACCAUCAACGAUGACCAUAGGAAAGUGAGGUUCUCCUCGUUGCCUCGGAUGCCGGGAGUUCCUAUGUCGUCUCCGGAGUAGCUAGCUACCGAUGAACGCCUCGAAGCUUACAAACGUCACUGUCCAUGAAGUGCUAGACGAGCAAGAGAGGAAGGUUACCCUUACCGAGAAGUUCGAGAAACCAGCUAGAGCCUCCAAUGCCGCCAGGAACCAAGCAAAAAGCGAGAUGACCUAACCGCCACACCCUGCCCAGAAUACUCCUAAACCUGCAAGGAAAGACCCAGAACACCACCGCAACAGAUCAAGCGAACUCUUACGGUUCGGGAGGCGAACUAAAACCAAAUGUUGACACGGAGACGGUCAAUGACUCUCCCGAGAACCAUCUCCACAUUUGUGAUCAAAGUCCAAGCUGUGAAACCCAUGUACCGGUGUCAACGGACAAGGAAACAAGGAGUACAAGCCAAGUGCUAAGAGGCCUCUUAACACCUGGAAGGACUAGGAUGAGUGCCUUGACAAGAAGAUCCGAGAUGACGAAGCAAGACCCGCAGCCUCCAAAGGCCAUAGACGACCUUCGAAAUCCACCGGUGAACGGAGGAUACAUCUACGAACCUCACCCACACGAGCCUGAGGAGAGCACGGCACCAAUACCACUUACGUACCAAGCUGUCAAAGACCCGCCUCUGAGUUGAAAACCACAAGAGACCACCUAACUAACGAGAACAAGAGCCGGACCUCUCCGACACCGAAAGGGGCACGAACUCUAAACCCGAGAAGAAGACUGAAACCACAGCCCUAGAGUGGCGGAGACCACCGAGAGACAAGAGCAUAGCUUCAGCCCUUCACUUCAAGCCAACGACGAAGAGGAAUUGUAGAUCUGAAAACUGAAAAUCGAUCUACUCCCAUCUCAAAAGCCGACUCCUCCAUGAACCACCUCUUCACGAACCUCACCGAAGCUCCAGACGCAGCUGAGACGUCACCGGCGAUGAGCUCUUCGCGAGCAGAGCCCCUCCACCGAUUAGAACCUCUACACCAGAACCUGCGAUUUGUCGGAAGGAAAGCGAAUGGACAUGGAGAAGCACAAAUAAAGACGAAGGAAAGAAGAACGAGCGCCUCCGGCGACGAUCGUCACGGUCACGCGCGAGUCUUCGAUCAAAAGAUCCCAUAGACCACAAUUUUUCUUGUGUCUUCUAUUCUUUGUUGUUUUU
RNAcentral lists this long non-coding RNA (1490 nucleotides) under Brassica napus (rape). Its description in RNAcentral is "long non-coding RNA (BNAP_LNC022930)". Lineage: Eukaryota; Viridiplantae; Streptophyta; Magnoliopsida; Brassicales; Brassicaceae. The record is from RNAcentral.